GAGUUCAAGAGUACGUGAAACCGUUCAGGGGUAAACCUGAGAAACCCGAAAGGUCGAACGGGGAGAUUCAGACGCGUCUCGGAGAACCGCGGCGAGUCGGUGACGAGUGACGGUAGGCGUUCGCGUCGACUGCGCCGUUUCCGUUCCGUCCGCGGCCGAACGCGUGCACUUCUCCCCCUGUAGGACGUCGCGACCCGUUGGGCGACGGUCUAAGGCCCGCGGUGGAGCCCGUACGAGUUUUUGCUCGUUCGGACCCGCGGUGUCCCGGCCGGAGACAAUACCGACGGUACGAUGGUGGCGCGGGGCCGCGACACGUUCGCGUCCGGCCGACCGCAAGUGCGGACGGAUAAUCCGAAAUCCGGACCUGGUGCCGGAUCCGGUCCCGUCCGACUGCUGGCGGUCGCGCUCUCGGACAGACCCCGAACACGCCCGUCGGCGGCGCUAUAGCUUUGGGUACUUUCAGGACCCGUCUUGAAACACGGACCAAGGAGUCUAGCAUGUGCGCGAGUCAUUGGGACUCUGAUGAAACCUAAAGGCGUAAUGAAAGUGAAGGUCCGCCCUGCGCGGACCGAGGGAGGAUGGGUGGACCCGAGGGGCCGCCCCGCACUCCCGGGGCGUCUCGUUCUCAUCGCGAGAAGAGGCGCACCCAGAGCGUACACGCUGGGACCCGAAAGAUGGUGAACUAUGCCUGGUCAGGACGAAGUCAGGGGAAACCCUGAUGGAGGUCCGUAGCGAUUCUGACGUGCAAAUCGAUCGUCGGAACUGGGUAUAGGGGCGAAAGACUAAUCGAACCAUCUAGUAGCUGGUUC
This 809-nucleotide ribosomal RNA is filed under the name Melolontha melolontha (common cockchafer). Its description in RNAcentral is "eukaryotic LSU rRNA". It matches the Rfam family "Eukaryotic large subunit ribosomal RNA", at positions 385 to 957 of the family's 3401-position model. The record is from RNAcentral. Lineage: Eukaryota; Metazoa; Arthropoda; Insecta; Coleoptera; Scarabaeidae.